UACAGAGGGGGCGAGCGUUGUUCGAAUUACUGGGCGUAAAGGGCGCGUAGGCGGCCCGCUAAGUCGAACGUGAAAUCCCCAGGCUCAACCUGGGAACUGCGUCCGAUACUGGCAGGCUUGAAUCCGGGAGAGGGAUGUGGAAUUCCAGGUGUAGCGGUGAAAUGCGUAGAUAUCUGGAGGAACACCGGUGGCGAAGGCGGCAUCCUGGACCGGUAUUGACGCUGAGGCGCGAAAGCUAGGGGAGCAAACGGG
Molecule: ribosomal RNA, 252 nt
Filed under: uncultured bacterium
Lineage: Bacteria
Description: partial 16S ribosomal RNA
Rfam family: Bacterial small subunit ribosomal RNA
Source: RNAcentral